RNAcentral lists this ribosomal RNA (684 nucleotides) under Triticum aestivum (bread wheat). RNAcentral describes it as "partial small subunit ribosomal RNA". The record is from RNAcentral. Lineage: Eukaryota; Viridiplantae; Streptophyta; Magnoliopsida; Poales; Poaceae.
AUGACUUCUGGAAAAAUUCAAAAAAUCCAUGCUAAAUAUUGUGCACAAGCGGUCACCAAGGCAAUCAAAGAAGAGAUGGGUGAUUGUCUUUUCUCUAUUCUUAUUGAUGAGUGUCGUGAUAUAUCGGUGAAAGAACAAAUGGUCGUGGUAAUCAGGUAUUUGAGCAAACAAGGAGAGACUAUUGAACGCUUUCUUGGUAUUAAGCAUGUUCCGGACACAACAUAUGCUUCUUUAAAGAAGGCAUUAUUGGAGGUUUUUGCUAAGCACGGUCUAGUUGUUGCACGACUACGAGGGAAAGGGUAUGAUGGGGCAUCUAAUAUGAGAGGAGAAUUAAAUGGCCUUCAGAAGUUAAUUCGAGAUGAGAAACCAUAUGCUUUCUAUAUCCAUUGCUUUGCCCACCAACUGCAGUUGGUAGUUGUUGUUGUUUCGAGAUGCUGCAAGGGUGUUGAGGGUUUUUUUGAAUAUGUGACCAUGAUUGCUAAUCUCAGUACUUCAUCUUGCAAGAGAAGGAUUAAUUGCUUGACAAGCAAAAAGAGGUUCUUUUGGAUAAGAUUAAGAGUGGUGAGAUGCCGACGGGAAGAGGGAAAAAUCAAGAAACAUCCUUGGUCAUACCUGGAGAUACAAGAUGGGGCUCUCAUUACACAACCUUAUCUCGCAUUGAAUCAAUGUGGGAUGCAGUCAUAG